This is a long non-coding RNA of Ruditapes philippinarum (Manila clam), 2064 nucleotides long. RefSeq lists it as uncharacterized. The record is from RefSeq and is a predicted model, not a curated record. NCBI's taxonomy places the organism in Eukaryota, Metazoa, Mollusca, Bivalvia, Venerida, Veneridae. The transcript has 2 exons.
AGACCAGGGUGCCGUUUUAUCAACGGUCGUACGCCCGGUCGUAGCUAAGAUUUGGUCGUACGACCGAUCUUACGGCUACGUCGCGUUUUAUCAACAUGGUCGUAGCUUAGACGUCGUAGAUUUUCGUCAUAACUUUAAGGCUGCUUCAGACCAGUCGUAAGUAGGCUUAAGAUCUUAAAAAUGGCGGCCAUUUUUGCAUAAUUCCCGAUAGGAACUUUCAAACACAAAUAUUUGAACAAUUGAAGUUUUCAACUAACGUAGGUUUUCCGCGUACAUGUUUAUGUACAGUGCUGAUUCUAUUUUAACAUCCCAGGGACGCAACUAUCACUUCCAGAUUAAUCUCCGGAUAAUUUCCACGAAGAAGCUAUGACCUUUCAAUGAAGUUGCUACAGUAUUUAUGUGAAAGACAAGUGUAAAUAAUGUGAAAUCAACAUGGCAACAUUAUGUUAACCUACAGUACAGUGCUGUAAUGGGAAUGCAAAUGAAACUGCAGCACUGUUGUUUGGUAAAGCAUGUACAUGUUUGCGAAAUGAGCAUCUUUAGAUCCAAUUUGGUGUAUCACAUGAAAAGAGGAUUGUAAACAAAGGACAAGUAACUUGUGCAAAUUGCAAUGUUAAUUAUUUGAUUUUAAGUCAGAAUAUUCUCUGUAAUGUUUCAGAUUACUGCUGAAUGAUGGAAGGUUUACAGCUAAACAAUCUUAUGAUUGGAAUCAAUAUCCAGGGACAGCUCUCCCUUACAGGGUCCAAGUGUUGUGACCUUGUUAUAUGGCCAACAAAGGGCAUAUAAGUCCUAAAGAUAGUUAAGAAUAAAGUUAUAUAGACUAUCAAACAUUUCAUCAAUUUACCAAUAUCUGUAAGAUAAGGUACAUUAUGUAUAAUUUAAUACAUUCCAUAAUAACAUGCACAUGAAUAAAAAUAACACUUAAGUAUGGUCACAAAGGGACAGUCAGUGAUCUACAAUUAUUACCCUGAAUGCAUGUAAGAAGCUUUAUGUGAAUGCUUUUAAUGAUUAAUGAAAACAUAUACAUAGGUUAAGGUCUUUAAGUUGUUUUUGAAUAUAUACUUUGGAUGGUACAUGUAUGUACUGACUAUAUAUUCACUUGUCUUAAGUGUCAAAACUAUAUAUAGCUAUUCAUGUAUGUCAAAAUCAAAUAUGUAUAUUUCUUGAGGUGAUAACUUUACUGAAUCAUUCUCUUGAAUAACAUUAUGAAAUUCAAAACUUGAAAGGAAUACACAGCAAAAUGAUGUUCUUCUCUGUAUUCAAUUGGAUUAAAGUGACUUUGAAAAAAAGAUUUAUGUGUUACAAUUCAUAACAUGAGAUAAAUCAAUGUAACAUAUGUGUUUAUAUUGAUAUUUAUUGAUUUAUUGUUACUUGAAUGCAUUAAAAAUUGUUGGGAUGAAUAUUAAAAACACAAAGAAAAUAACACAAAAGGGACACUAAUUGAAAUAAACAAUUGUAAUACAGAAUUCCCUGGAAGUGACAUUUUAUCUUUAAUGUGCUAAGGUUAUAAUCAUCUUUGUCUUAACUGCUCUUGUCUGAAUAGUACCUUGUGUCUGUUAAAACAUAUUAUUUUUAUAUUGUUAUCUACUUUCAAGAUUGUUUUCUAGUAGAUAUGUAAAUAAAUUCUCAACAGGUAUCAUAAAAAAUUAAUAUGAAUUAGAAAAAGUUGUAACAUGUCAUUUCAAUGUCAUAAUUUACUGUCCUAUAUUUAUUUAUUGUCAUACUGGAAUAAUAAUAAAUGACUUUGUAACAUUCCAACACUUUCUGUUCUGUAGAUACCUUCACAAAUCAGCCAGCCAUACUAGGAUCCUGCCUAUUACCGGACAAAAUAUGUUUUUUCGCCGUAUUUUUCUUUUAAAUAAUAAAAAAGAAUGGAAUUUUACCCAAAUAAUUUUGGGUUUUUAUAACACGUAAACAUUACUUAAUCGGACAUAAAAUUAAAAAUUUGACCGUAGAAAUGUGUCUUUAAAGUAGGGCAUUAUAAGAGAAAAAAUCGUGUAGACAGCUCAAUUUACCGCGGACAUUGUGUUUCAAAAUAUUUUGAAGUCGUGAAUUUAAAUUUGU